GACAGAGGUGGCGAGCGUUGUUCGGAAUUACUGGGCUUAAAGGGCGAGUAGGCGGUGGAGCAAGUCUGAGGUGGAAUCCUAUGGCUUAACCAUAGAACUGCCUUAGAAACUGUUUCACUUGAGUCAGUGAGGGGAGGGCGGAAUUCCCGGUGUAGCGGUGAAAUGCGUAGAUAUCGGGAGGAAGGCCGGUGGCGAAGGCGGCCCUCUGGCACUGUACUGACGCUGAGGCGCGAAAGCGUGGGGAGCAAACAGG
RNAcentral lists this ribosomal RNA (253 nucleotides) under uncultured bacterium. RNAcentral's name for it is "partial 16S ribosomal RNA". It matches the Rfam family "Bacterial small subunit ribosomal RNA", at positions 524 to 776 of the family's 1533-position model. The record is from RNAcentral.